GCGGUGUAGUUUAGUGGUAAAACUACAGCCUUCCAAGCUGUUGUCGCGAGUUCGAUUCUCGUCACCCGCU
Molecule: transfer RNA, 70 nt
Filed under: Streptococcus anginosus subsp. whileyi MAS624
Lineage: Bacteria; Bacillati; Bacillota; Bacilli; Lactobacillales; Streptococcaceae
Description: tRNA-Gly
Rfam family: tRNA
About the family: Transfer RNA (tRNA) molecules are approximately 80 nucleotides in length. Their secondary structure includes four short double-helical elements and three loops (D, anti-codon, and T loops). Further hydrogen bonds mediate the characteristic L-shaped molecular structure. tRNAs have two regions of fundamental functional importance: the anti-codon, which is responsible for specific mRNA codon recognition, and the 3' end, to which the tRNAs corresponding amino acid is attached (by aminoacyl-tRNA synthetases). tRNAs cope with the degeneracy of the genetic code in two manners: having more than one tRNA (with a specific anti-codon) for a particular amino acid; and 'wobble' base-pairing, i.e. permitting non-standard base-pairing at the 3rd anti-codon position.
Source: RNAcentral